CACUAGCCCAGAAUGUAGUGUAAAGCCCGCAGCCCCAAAAGGGAUUUUUUUGUUGCUGCAAAAGAGCGACCAGCGGAAGCUCCUUUUGUGGCAAACAAAAAACCCUUUUGGGGCGAGUACUUGAAACGGAAUGCUGGAUGGGCU
This 144-nucleotide small RNA is filed under the name Flavobacterium branchiophilum. Its description in RNAcentral is "Flavo-1 RNA". The record is from RNAcentral. Lineage: Bacteria; Pseudomonadati; Bacteroidota; Flavobacteriia; Flavobacteriales; Flavobacteriaceae.